Molecule: transfer RNA, 64 nt
Filed under: Tridacna maxima
Lineage: Eukaryota; Metazoa; Mollusca; Bivalvia; Cardiida; Cardiidae
Description: tRNA-Met
Source: RNAcentral
UCUAGGAUAAACUAAAUAAGUUGUCGGGCUCAUAACCUGACCAUGAGGGCAAACUCUCCUAGAU